UAAGAGCAGUGGGAAUGGGAACAUGGAGGAAAGCCCAUCCUGUUGGUUUCCUCCUCCAGAAACCGAGGUGGAAGCUUGGUUCGGUGUUUCCCGAUGCCUCCCAUUCCUAUUGUUCUUA
Non-coding RNA from Zea mays, 118 nucleotides. RefSeq annotates it as microRNA MIR2118b. The transcript has a single exon. Lineage: Eukaryota; Viridiplantae; Streptophyta; Magnoliopsida; Poales; Poaceae. The record is from RefSeq and is marked provisional.